This 607-nucleotide long non-coding RNA is filed under the name Homo sapiens (human). RNAcentral's name for it is "novel transcript". Lineage: Eukaryota; Metazoa; Chordata; Mammalia; Primates; Hominidae. The record is from RNAcentral.
UACGGCAGCUUUAGGGAGGUGCUCUGAGACCCGAAACUAGACUCGACUUUAACAGACACAGACGACCCUGAAGAUGGAAACGUUUUCUUCCAAAUUGUGCUGCACGUUUUUGGCGAGAGCAUGGGGCUGUGCGGCGUCCCCUCCCUGGCGCCCACCUGUGCCCUGCACACUGGCCUGCACUGUGGUGAUCUCGCUUGGCCCCCACCUGAUUCCCGACAUACAGCAGAGGAACCUUAGGCUCAGGUGGAACAGCCUCAACUGAUUCUGUCCCUGAACUUCCGUACACAGCCCUGGAGUCGUCUUAGAGCCAUGAUUUAUUUAACUGUUCUUUCAUUUUACAGAACAUAAAAUGUAUUGUUUCCAACUUUUUUCCUAUGGUAAAUAAUACUAAAGUAAAUAUCUCUGUGCAUGAAUCUUUUUGUAUAUGUUGGAAUAUCCUUAAGAUAAGGCCCCAGAACUAAAAGUACCCUGUCAAAAGGUGAGCAUUUCCGGUUCCCCUGCUGUGCUUUGCUGCGUUGUUCUCUCCUGCUGCAACGUUCUCACUCCACAAUCCUGGGGCAGGGAGGGGAGGCCCAGCUGAGUUUGGAUCAUAAUCCUGAAAGACACA